CCCUUAGAUGUCCUGGGCCGCACGCGCGUUACACUGAUGCAUUCAACGAGCUUAUAACCUUGGCCGAGAGGCCUGGGCAAUCUUGUUAACGUGCAUCGUGAUAGGGAUAGAUUAUUGAAAUUAUUAAUCUUGAACGAGGAAUUCCUAGUAAACGCAGAUCAUCAAUCUGCAUUGAUUACGUCCCUGCCCUUUGUACACACCGCCCGUCGCACCUACUGAUUGGAUGGUCCGGUGAAGCCUCGGGAUUGUGGUUCUUGCCGCUUUAUUGUGGCGUGACCGCGAGAACUUGUCUAAACCUUAUCAUCUAGAGGAAGGUGAAGUCGUAACA
This 328-nucleotide ribosomal RNA is filed under the name uncultured eukaryote. Its description in RNAcentral is "partial 18S ribosomal RNA". It matches the Rfam family "Eukaryotic small subunit ribosomal RNA", at positions 1470 to 1796 of the family's 1831-position model. The record is from RNAcentral.